Molecule: long non-coding RNA, 301 nt
Filed under: Homo sapiens (human)
Lineage: Eukaryota; Metazoa; Chordata; Mammalia; Primates; Hominidae
Description: HSALNT0288850
Source: RNAcentral
AGAUAUGUCUCAAUGCCCCCAUAGGCAGAUCCAAGACAAGAGUCCGUCACCUGGGUGAUCAGUGCAGAAAUAUGUGACAAUGCCCCCAAUAGGCAGAACCUAGAGAAGAGUCCCAUCACCUGGGUGAUCAGUGCAGAGUUAUACCACAAAGCCCCCUGUAGGCAGAGCCUAGACAAGAGUUACAUCACCUGGUUGAUUACUGUAGAGAUAUGUCACAAUGCCACUGUAGGCAGAGCCUAGACAAAAGUCCCAUCACCUGGGUGAUCAGUGCAGAGAUAUGUCACAAAGCUCCUGUAGGCAG